AUUUAAAUGAGUCAAACUAGUCAAAAUAAACUUGGAAGCAUUUCCUCUUGGCGCAGAAUCACUUCAAUCAGUGCUUAAAUUUCCAGCACGCUAUCUUUGCUAGAUUCUUCCGUUCCAAUCUGCUUCAUAGACGGUUACAAUCAGAGUGAUCCUUAUGGGUUUUUGAUCGGUGAUGAUGUCAGGAAAUGAACCACUUGAGUGUUUCUUCAAUUCGAUUAGUGUUGUCAAAGUGAAUAUUAGGAAGGCCGCAAUGGAUCUUGAGUGUUGUUGGGUGAAGCAACUUUGCAAGUUUCAGAUUUGUGAUGCGAAGAAAAAGGGGUUCUCAAUGAAGGUACAUGUGAAUGAAGGUGAAAUUUGGAGUACAGGGUUGAAGGAGAAGGAGGUUGUUAAUGGCUUAAUACAAGCUCUGCCAUUUUCUUUCAAAUCAGGAGUAAAGAGAUCUAAGAAAAUGGACGGUGAAGAUGAAUUAUGUUCUUGCAUGCAGCUCGCUGUUUUGCCUGAAGAGAAGCUAAAUGGAUCAAAGAGUCAGUUUGUUAGACCUACUUCGGAAAAGGGUGACUGGGAGACAGAAGGGAAACAUGUUCCAUUAAAGUGCAUGAUGGGUUUUAUUGAUCAGUUGUGUCAGUCUCUUCCACAUUUGGAUAAGGUAGUGCACGAAGAUCGGAUUGAUUUCGGGCAAACAUCCCCGCGACGGCCUUCUUCAUCUCGGUUUAGUUAUAAGAAAGCAGUUGCAAAAUGGCUCAGAUUAGAUGUCAAUGAUUUCAUGAGGGAUUUUAGAUUUGCAAAGGUAGGUGGUGUUCCAUCUAGUGUAGUUGGACUAAGCUGCAAAUCAAGAAAUGAAGAUGGAGAUGGUAGUGCAACCCUUGAAAACAAGGAAGCUGAAGGAAAGAGGUCCUUUAAGGAGCUUGACAGAGAUAGCAAUGCCCAUGCAACUUCAGAAGAUCUGGUGAGUAUUUCGUCCGAGACAGCAAGCAUAGCUGCUGUUCCGUCACCUGAUGAAAUACCUGCUGGGAGUGUUCUACGGUCAGCCAUAGCCGGUGGCCUUUCAUGUGCUUUUUCUUGUGCACUAAUGCAUCCAGUUGAUACAAUCAAGACCCAAGUACAGGCAUCAACACUAUCGCUCUUUGAAAUCAUUUCCAUGGUUCCACAGAUUGGAGCAAGGGGUUUAUACAAGGGAUCAAUCCCUGCAAUUCUUGGGCAGUUGUCAGGUCAUGCCUUGCGAACUGGGAUAUUUGAAGCAAGCAAGUUGGUAUUGCUACAAGGUUCUCCAACAAAACUUCCUGAAAUCCAGGUAAAUUCUAUAUUAUCAUUAUGUAGCACAAUUUUGGGAACAGUUACGCGGAUACCCAGUGAGGUGUUGAAGCAGCGGUUGCAGGCAGGACUUUAUGACAGUUUGGGUGAGGCAUUAGUUGGGACUUGGCGCCAAGAUGGACUUGGGGGUUUCUUUCGGGGAACUGGAGCUACCCUUUGUCGCGAAGUUCCAUUUUAUGUUGCUGGCAUGGGUCUAUAUGAUGAAUCUAAAAAGGCCGUUCAACGACUAAUACAGCGGGAACUGGAGCCAUGGGAGGCAGUUGUUGUUGGAGCUAUAGCUGGUGGAUUAGCUGGUGUCACCACAACGCCCUUUGACGUAAUCAAAACUAGAAUGAUGACUACACAGGGUCAGUCUGUCUCAACUGCCGUAGUUGCCUUAUCUAUAUUACGGCAGGAGGGACCUCUUGCCUUAUAUAAAGGUGCAGUUCCCAGGUUCUUUUGGAUUGCUCCUUUGGGUGCCAUAAACUUAGCAGGUUAUGAGCUUGCAAGGAAGGCCCUAGACAGUCUAUCCGGCAAACAAAUGUCGCAGAAGAAGGCGACUGGAUCGGAGUAAUGUGUUAUUCAAGCUCUCAUAUUUGGAGUUCAUUGCUGCUCAUAUUUUGGCUCUCAAUUUGCCAGCAUCUCUGUGACUGUCCAAGAUGCACAUUUUGAUUCAUUGUUAUUCUUGUAUCUUGUUCUCAUUCAUUUGUAGCAGAGUAGUUCAAAACUAUUUUAUAGGUACAUUAAUAAUUAAAUUGCCUUCUUUUCAGAGAGAGAGAGAAUAAAAACGGCAGUUAAUUCCUUGAGGGUAUUCAUUAGGUCGGAAGCCCGAUAACUAAUCCUUCGGAUACUGCAGAAGCAAAGUGGGCGACCCUCUCAAGCAAGCAAACUCUAUUCCCAUCCUCCAGUUGAAUUCUGGAUAGAUCUGGUGCUUACGUUACUUGGAUACUUACCAGGGAUUAUAUAUGCCAUUUAUGUA
Non-coding RNA from Arachis ipaensis, 2269 nucleotides. The record is from RefSeq and is a predicted model, not a curated record. NCBI's taxonomy places the organism in Eukaryota, Viridiplantae, Streptophyta, Magnoliopsida, Fabales, Fabaceae.